AUUGAACGCUGGCGGCAUGCCUAACACAUGCAAGUCGAACGGCGGCACGGUCUAGUUUACUAGACUGAUGGCGAGUGGCGGACGGGUGAGUAACGCGUAGGAAUAUACCUUAAAGAGGGGGAUAACUUGGGGAAACUCAAGCUAAUACCGCGUAAGUUCUGAGGAAGAAAGCUGGGGACCUUUUGGCCUGGCGCUUUAAGAAUAGCCUGCGUACGAUUAGCUAGUUGGUGAGGUAAGGGCUCACCAAGGCGACGAUCGUUAGCUGGUCUGAGAGGAUGGCCAGCCACACUGGGACUGAGACACGGCCCAGACUCCUACGGGAGGCAGCAGUGGGGAAUAUUGGACAAUGGGGGGAACCCUGAUCCAGCAAUGCCGCGUGUGUGAAGAAGGCCUGAGGGUUGUAAAGCAUUUUCAGUGGGGAGGAGGGUUGAUUGGUUAAGAGCUGAUUAAUUGGACGUUACCCACAGAAGAAGCACCGGCUAACUCCGUGCCAGCCGCCGCCGUAA
RNAcentral lists this ribosomal RNA (506 nucleotides) under uncultured bacterium. Its description in RNAcentral is "partial 16S ribosomal RNA". It matches the Rfam family "Bacterial small subunit ribosomal RNA", at positions 30 to 523 of the family's 1533-position model. The record is from RNAcentral.